CGUUAGCGGCUGACGGGUGAGUAACACGUGGGUAACCUACCUAUAAGACUGGGAUAACUUCGGGAAACCGGAGCUAAUACCGGAUAAUAUUUCGAACCGCAUGGUUCGAUAGUGAAAGAUGUUUUGCUAUCACUUAUAGAUGGACCUGCGCCGUAUUAGCUAGUUGGUAAGGUAACGGCUUACCAAGGCGACGAUACGUAGCCGACCUGAGAGGGUGAUCGGCCACACUGGAACUGAGACACGGUCCAGACUCCUACGGGAGGCAGCAGGC
Molecule: ribosomal RNA, 271 nt
Filed under: uncultured Staphylococcus sp.
Lineage: Bacteria; Bacillati; Bacillota; Bacilli; Caryophanales; Staphylococcaceae
Description: partial 16S ribosomal RNA
Rfam family: Bacterial small subunit ribosomal RNA
Source: RNAcentral